GAUCAAAUUGGGUUGGGUGCAGCUUUUAAUGGAGCAGGCGGUCCCUCAGACGUUACUUGACGUCCCGCUGAGUCCGUGUUUUGCUGCAGAGCUGAAUCUUGAUGUGUGGUUGGUUUUGUGUGCGUUAAAAAAGAAUCAGAGUCAGGUUGGUUUCUGCUGUGGCUGUCAGAAAGGAAGCGAUGUUUGCUUUCAUCACGCUGUGAUCAGAGCAGCAGGAUCUGCAUGGCCUCCUGGGUCACAGAGGUGGUCUUCAGCUAAGAGACAACACGGCGUGGAAAGUUGAAAAAAUUGCUGCAUGGUAGACAGCUCGAUGCCCUCGCUGUUUCAUGUGUGAAAGACAAACUCAAUGUAACUUUGAAAGAAACACUCGAAUCCUACAGUUUGAGAUGAACAGGGAGUCCUGGUUGGGAAGAAGCAUAUUUUUGUUUUCAUUUAAAAAUCUAUCAACUUUUUGUUGGUUUUCAGUUUGUCCCCAGCGCUACAGUCAGGGGGGGCGGGGGUCAGGAGCAGGGGAGCAUCCCGGAACACUCAGGCUAAUGAAGACUGACUGGGACGUGCACAUGUUGUCUCACCCUGCAGUUCUCCGGACGUUGGAAGCAGCUGGGUAUAAACCGUCCACGAAGAGGCAGAGUUCACUGAACUUUUCUGCCACACUUUUGGACAACAUUCUUCUGGUGAGUGUCAUGGUGAAUUAACACAAAAAACCUCCCAUGAUGACCAAAUACAGAAAGUGUUUAAAGCCUAAACUCCAGGAAGUCAGAGACUUUUAUGCACUUCUUAACCCUUGUGUUUCCACAUUAUGUUCUUUCUUUAACCCUUGUGCAAUCUUAGAUGACCCCACCCUUACAUUUACGUGUUCUCCCUACCAUGACAAAGGUGGAUAAAGGUGGAAAGAUUUCAUGUAAUCCAUGGACACCAGUGAGGUUCAGAAAUCAUUGAAGAAAAAAGGUUCAGCGUCUAGUGGGUCUAGAUGACCCAACUCCCAACGUUAAAGUGCCUAGGAUGGCACAAGGGCUAGACAUGCAAGAAAAAAAAAAUAAAAAGGCAGCAGAAAUGAGAAAUAAUUUAAAACCACUAUUAAUAGGAAUCCCCUUUUUUGCCUAUUCCAACCCUCCCAGAAAUGUUUUUACAAGGUUAUUACACAGAGAAAUAAAUUACAGAAGAGGAUUAGUGCCAUGGAGAAAGAAAGAAAAUGGCAUAGAAAAUUCUGACUUUAAUCUCAGAAUUCUUAGAAAAAAGCCAGAAUUCU
Molecule: long non-coding RNA, 1249 nt
Filed under: Oryzias sinensis (Chinese medaka)
Lineage: Eukaryota; Metazoa; Chordata; Actinopteri; Beloniformes; Adrianichthyidae
Description: lncRNA (ENSOSIG00000019192.1)
Source: RNAcentral